CCAGUGCUUCAAGUAUAGUAACCUCUGGCCUACAUCAGCUCAGUGUGCCCUGUGGAUCAGUUUCCUUGCUGAUACUCUACUCAUAAAAUGUCACUUAAUUUUCUCAAGUCAACAGUAGGGUUGGCUCCCCUCUUCCCAAGUUACAAAAGAAAACCUGGAGGCUGUCAUAAUCCAUUUUUCGUUGUUGUUGUUGUUGUUGUUGUUGCUGCUGUUGUUGCUAUAAGAAAGCAUCUGAAACUGAGUAGCUUAUAAACAACAGAGGGUUUGGAGUUCAUAGUCCAGGAGGCUGGAUGUCCAAAGGCAUGGACACAGCAUCUGUUGAAAGCCUUAUGUUAUGUCAUAAUAUGGCAUGGAAUGUCCCAUGGAAACAGAACGUCCCUGCCAGCUCAGACUCCUGGAUCUCUUCUUAGAGAGCCAUUAAUAUCAAAAUAGGGGGUCCUACCCUGAUGACCUCCUCUGAUCUUAGUGGCCUCCCCAAAAGCCCCACCUCCAAACACCAUGAAUAUGUGUGGGUAUUAAGCUUACAAUGCGUGAGCCAUGACAGAAGCUGUAGAGGGAUGGCAGAUGGGCUGGAAGAGGAACAGCCAUGAUGGGCUGGCCCCUCCCGCUCUUUCCUUUCCAGGCCAGGUUACGGGAGCCGUGAGCAUGGGAGAGAUCUGGUUUGGCGGGAGUGUAAACCCUGACCAACGCGCUCCAGCUUUGGAGGGCCGGUUAUCGGUGGCUCAUUCCCAACUCCAGGAAGGCAGUUUUUGGAUACUGCAGGGGUGUAGACUAGGAUAUCUCAGACUUAGAAGAGCUGAAGAGCCUAGGAGCGCCCUUCGUACCCCCAGCCCCCGAGGCCAUUUUGCCUUUGUUCUCACUCAGGCUUCUGGACCUUGUGGCAUCGCUCACAUUAAAGGCAACAUGAGAUCACAGGGGCUCCGUGGACACAGCCUUCAGGGCCAGCGGAAGCUCCUCUUUAGAGGCCGUCCAUCAGUGCACACCUUCCCCCCAGGAGCCCAUCAACUUGAACAGCCACAGUCAGGGGCACAGAGCCCAUGAUACUCACCAACCUUUGCCUGGCCACUUAGCCUUUUUACAACUCCAUGUCCCUUCCAAUAAAACAGAACAUUCUAGAUGUGAACUCUCU
This 1129-nucleotide long non-coding RNA is filed under the name Rattus norvegicus (Norway rat). RNAcentral describes it as "long non-coding RNA NONRATT033078". Lineage: Eukaryota; Metazoa; Chordata; Mammalia; Rodentia; Muridae. The record is from RNAcentral.